This 497-nucleotide ribosomal RNA is filed under the name uncultured bacterium. RNAcentral describes it as "partial 16S ribosomal RNA". It matches the Rfam family "Bacterial small subunit ribosomal RNA", at positions 28 to 507 of the family's 1533-position model. The record is from RNAcentral.
GAUGAACGCUGGCGGCGUGCCUAAUACAUGCAAGUCGAGCGAAGAGACGAGGAUCUUGUUCCUCUGACGUUAGGGGCGGACGGGGGAGUCACAGGUGGAUAACCUCCCUUUAAGUCGGGGAUAACUUGGGGAAACCGGAGCAAAUACCGGGUAAUAUAUUGAAACGCAUGGUGCAAUAGAGCAAUACGGUUUUUCUGUUUUUUUUAGGUGGAUCCGCCUCGUAUUAGUUAGUAGGGAAGGGAACGGCCUAUCAAGGCAACGAUGGGGAGGUGACCUGAGAGGGUGGUCGGCCACACUGGAACUGAGACACGGCCCAGACUCCUACGGGAAGGAGCAGUAGGGAAUCUUCCGCAAUGGGCGGAAGCCUGGCGGAGCCACACCGCGUGAGUGAUGAAGGUCUUCGGAUCGUAAAGCUCUGUUAUUAGGGAAGAACAAAUGUGUAAGUAACUAUGCACGUCUUGACGGUACCUAGUCAGAAAGCCACGGCUAACUACGUG